GACGAACGCUGGCGGCGUGCCUAAUACAUGCAAGUCGAGCGAACCAAUAAGAAGCUUGCUUUUUGUUGGUUAGCGGCGGACGGGUGAGUAACACGUGGGUAACCUGCCUGUAAGACCGGGAUAACUCCGGGAAACCGGUGCUAAUACCGGAUAGAUUAUCUUUCCGCAUGGAGAGAUAAGGAAAGAUGGCUAUUGCCAUCACUUACAGAUGGGCCCGCGGCGCAUUAGCUAGUUGGUGAGGUAACGGCUCACCAAGGCGACGAUGCGUAGCCGACCUGAGGGGGUGAUCGGCCACACUGGGACUGAGACACGGCCAAGACUCCUAAGGGAGGCAGCAGUAGGGAAUCUUCCGCAAUGGACGAAAGUCUGACGGAGCAACGCCGCGUGAGAGAAGAAGGUCUUCGGAUCGUAAAGCUCUGUUGUUAGGGAAGAACAAGUAUCGGAGGAAAUGCCGGUACAUUGACGGUACCUGACGAGAAAGCCACGGCUAACUACGUG
Molecule: ribosomal RNA, 498 nt
Filed under: uncultured bacterium
Lineage: Bacteria
Description: partial 16S ribosomal RNA
Rfam family: Bacterial small subunit ribosomal RNA
Source: RNAcentral